This is a long non-coding RNA of Felis catus (domestic cat), 3608 nucleotides long. RefSeq lists it as uncharacterized. The record is from RefSeq and is a predicted model, not a curated record. The transcript is spliced from 7 exons. NCBI's taxonomy places the organism in Eukaryota, Metazoa, Chordata, Mammalia, Carnivora, Felidae.
AGCCACGUGGGGGAGGAUGAGAAGAGGCUAAAUAUAGCCAUGGAAAAAACAACCAGCAGACUAGAAAGCACCUUCAGGCUUAACAUCAACAGAGGCUGUCAUUUCCCAGGAUUCCUCAGCCAUGCUCCGGUGAUACCUGUUUGAAAUCGGACUUCAGGCCAGCUGGUUCCUUCUCGUGUGGCUAAGACGAUGCAGCCACCUCACCCUGUUUAUGGAACGAGUUGCUGAUCCCAGCCCUGCCACUCCGUUCUCGUUGGCACGGCUGCUGCUAGUGAAGAUGGAGAGAGCCCCCCCAAGGAAUGUCAUUUUCAAAAUGGUGCAGAACUGCUUCCCGCAAGGCCUGACAUCCUCCUCAUUGUGGUUUCUAAACUAGAGCCUUAUAUCAUGAUUAGCAAACAACCCUGGUCUGGGGGUCAGUGAAUCUUCGUGGGGAUCUGCAGAAGGUGCAGCUGUUGGAAACUCCCCGGCUGCUUCACAGUCGUGAGGUGAGCUGACAGGCUGAUCUCCGUCUUCUCUGUAGCACAUGCUGUUCCAUCCUUAUAAUUAUUACCAAUUUAGAGGAUUGAUGGAAAGAACAGAAGGGGAAAGGAAUAGUCCCAAGGAGUGUAAAAGGAGUAUAAAAAUAUCAUUUGUGUAUUAUUGUUGGAAACUUGUCACCGCAUCUAUGAAGCUGAGGAGUGUAACCGGCGUUGGAACAGGCCAUGAUGGAAGAACGGAUUUACCUUUCUCUAAAACUGAGCAAAACAUGUGAGGUGACUACUUUUAGGCACUGGAAAAUAGUGCAGGACUCCAGUCUCAGCAAGACAGGAAAUAAAUGAGGUGAGCACCACAUCCAACCUGAUUUUAUGUCUGGGGGCGCUUUGCUGAACUGGCGCUAAGUGAAGAGCCCAGGUGAAGAACAUCAAGUCGUACUGAGCCGAGGAGACAGAAAUGGCAGUAGAGGGCAUGAAGAGGCAGUUGGGAUUCACAGGAUCGAAUUCCAGAGGCAAAUGAGCUCUGCAGAAGGGAAAUGUCAGAAGUCUGUGUGGAGAUUCUUCUUACCUCUGGCUAAGAGCUGCUCUGGGCCUUGCCUGUACAGGGUAAGAUUCUGUAAGACCUCUUGAUUCUGCAAGACCACAGCUGCUGUGGCACUAAGAAAUGAAUGGAAAUGCCAAAAGUCACGUAGUGCUAAAAUAUAUUGGAGUUUUGACCCAACGAUGGCGGAAAGACGUCAUUGAGCACACGGGGCAUUCGACUGAGACCCCAGGAAUGCCACUCUUUUGGAAUAAGGAAUAGGAGCAUAUCCUAGAAUUGAGGUCAAAAUCAAUAUAGAUUUGCCCAAAGAAAGCCUAAAAUGAAGCCUGAAGGAUUAAAAGAAUGAACCUGUUAUGUAGUUGCUGGCCAGAACCAAACAUUACACCUUAAAAAAAAAGUUUUUUUUUUUUAAAUUUUUGAGAGAGAGAGAGUACACAGAGGAGAGGAGCAUUCCUGGAAUCCCAAGCAGGCUCUGCAUUGUCAGCACCAAGGCCCACACAGGGCUCAAACUGAGGAACCAGGAUAUCAUGACCUGAGCCAAAGUCAACAGUCGGGCCUUUAACCUCCUGAGCCACCCAGGCGCCCCCAAACAUAACACCUUUAAAUGAGAGACAAGAUAAUCCAGAUGCUGUACAAUAUAUCAUUUGUAACGUGCAGCAUGCAAUAAAAAUUAAUGCAUAUGCAAAGAAGCAGGAAAAUGGAAUUCGUAAUCAAGAUUAAAAAACAGACAACCACAAGAGAUCCUGAAAACGGCUCGGAUUUUGGAGCUAGAACACAGUUUAAAAAUGGUGAUUGUAAGCAUGUUCAAGGAUUUAAAGACAAAAAAUGGACAUAAUGAACAGGCUGGGAAAUCUCAGAAAUACAAGCUGUACAAAACUAUCAAUUAAAAAUACUAGAAAUAACAAUUUCCCUCAGUGUCUUAAGAGGAGAUUGGAUACUGCAGAAUAAAAAGUACGAGAACCUGAAAAUAGAUCAAUUAGAAAAUAUCAAAACUGAACAACAGAAUAAAUUUUAUUUUCUAUUUUCUAAAAUGAACAGAGCCUCUGUAUCUUGUAGAAUGAUCUCACUUGUCUUAUAUGUAAUUGAAGUCUCUGAAGACAAGGAAAAAAAAGAAUGGGUCAGAACUAUUUGAAGAAAUGAUAACCUUAAAUAUUCAAACUUGGAAAAAAAAUCAAUCUACAGAUGUAAGAAAGUCACAAAACCAAAAGCAAUAUAUCUCUCAAAAUAAUCUUUAAGAUUAGAGGUUAAAAAAUAUCUGGAAAGGACUAUACCUUAAUAUAAUUUUACUUAAUACAAUUUAGCUCCUGUAGUCAUGGAGCUAAAAGAAAUGGCGAAGAAAGUUCAUUGGGCUGAAGAUAAAAUUUAGGAUGUUACUAAGGAAUGAACAUAAUUGGGAAUGGUAAAUAUGUGGUAAAUAAGAAUUUUAUUUUCCUACCUUUAAGUUUCCUUAACAUACUCGAUUGGUUCAAGCAAAAGUAAGAACAAUGCAUUGUGAUAUUUUUAGCAUAUGUAAUGAUAACACAUGUCCAUAGCAUUAAGAAUUGCAGGGGGUUAAGUGGAAUUCUACCCUUAAAAGAUUCGGAUAUUCUACAUGAAAUGUUAUAAUAUUAAUUACAAGUAGACUCAAGCUCAGGAUAUAUACUCAAAUUCCUAGAGCAAUCACUAAUACACACACACACACACACACACACACACCAAAAAGCAAAUAAAAUGGAGUACUAAAAAAUAUUUUAUUGGAUCAAGAAGGCCAGAAAGAACAAAGAAACACACAUGAUAUGGGACAAAUAAAAAGCAAAUUGCAAGAUGAUAGAAUUCAACACAACCAUAUUAAUACUUUUAUUGACUGAGAAUGCACUAAAUAUUCCAGUUAAUAAUAAAUUUCAUAAUAAAAAAAGGUCAGUUCAUUAAGAAGACACAACAGUUUGAAAUGUGUAUCCAUCUAAUUACUGUGUUUGACAUAACUCCUGGCACAUAUAACUAUUUUUAAUGCAAGGAUGACUCAACACAAGGAAAUCCAUUAAUGUAAUUCACUAUAUAAAUAGAUCAAAGGAGGUAAAACUCAUGACAUUUCAAUAUGGGAGAAAAUGCAUUUGCUAAAAUUCAAUCAUCACUCUUGAUUAAAAACAAGUAAACAAUAACUCUCAGCAAGCUUGCAAUAGAAGGAAACUUUCUUAAGCUGAUAAACCUUAGCAUAAACCAAGAGCAAAUAUUUGAUGUAAAACAUUACAAUCGUUCCUACUAAUGUUCCUAAGAUAAAUUUGCUCCCAGCAUUGUUGCUAUUUAAUCUUGUAAUGGAGAGUCUAACUAAUGCAGUAAGACAGAAAAAAGUAAUAUAUAUACAUAUAUACAUACGUAUGUGUGUGUAUAUAUAUAUAUGUGUGUAUAUACUAUGAAGGAAAGACACAGAUAAAAUUAUUUGCAAACAAGAGAUUGUCUUAGAAAUCCAAGAAAAAAAUUUACUAGAAUCAGUACAAUAUUGAAUAUGAGGUUUAGGUAAAUCAAAAGCAAAAUCAGUGGUUUCUUAUAUAUUAUCAACAAUACAUUAAAAAAAUGAAACAGAGAAAAAGGAACUUACUCUCACCAAAAGAAAAACU